UGUUUGUGACAACUAUAUUGUUUUUUCCGUGUACGAAUACCAAAAUCGAUUGAUAUGGAUAAUUAAUAAAAAAAAACUCCAUAAUCACAUUUACAAUAUUUUUACUUUAUUUUUAUAAUUAUUCUUUACAUAUUUGUGGAUGAUAAUCAUCAAAGAAACAUUUGAAGCAUAAUGUCGAUUUACGUCUGCUUUCCGUUAACAAUUUUGAAGAAACCAUGCAGUUGUCAGUUAAAAGAUAUAUGUUUUAUUCAAUGUGCUCGAUGUAAAUCGACAUUAUGCUUCAAAUGUUUCUUUGAUGAUUAUCAUCCACAAAUAUGUAAAGAAUAAAUAUAAAAAUAAAG
Long non-coding RNA from Vollenhovia emeryi, 341 nucleotides. RefSeq lists it as uncharacterized. The transcript has 2 exons. Lineage: Eukaryota; Metazoa; Arthropoda; Insecta; Hymenoptera; Formicidae. The record is from RefSeq and is a predicted model, not a curated record.